UAAUUAUCAUCAAUUUUUUAACCUUUAUUUAUCAGCAAUUUUUUUUAAUAAGUAAACAAAACGAUGGGGUUCCAGAAUUAUUUAAAAAAUAUAUAAAAUAUAAAAUAAGCAUAUAAACAAAUACAGAAUAAUUAGUUCAUGAAAUUCCCUAUACUACUCUUAUUGAAAACGCUCUUAGAAUUUUUGUAUUUUAUUUUUUAUUGUUACAUAUUACACCUAAUUAGACCCAUGCACCGCAUGGGUCAAAGUUCUAGUGU
RNAcentral lists this long non-coding RNA (257 nucleotides) under Trifolium pratense (red clover). Its description in RNAcentral is "long non-coding RNA (TPRA_LNC004658)". The record is from RNAcentral. Lineage: Eukaryota; Viridiplantae; Streptophyta; Magnoliopsida; Fabales; Fabaceae.